RNAcentral lists this ribosomal RNA (408 nucleotides) under uncultured microorganism. RNAcentral describes it as "bacterial SSU rRNA". It matches the Rfam family "Archaeal small subunit ribosomal RNA", at positions 330 to 745 of the family's 1478-position model. The record is from RNAcentral.
ACGCACCAGGCGCGAAACUUUACAAUGUGCGAAAGCACGAUAAGGGAACUCUGAGUGCCUCCUAAGGAGGCUGUUCAGGUGUCUAAAAGCACCUGAAGGAAGGGCUGGGUAAGACCGGUGCCAGCCGCCGCGGUAACACCGGCAGCCCAAGUGGUAGCCACGUUUAUUGGGUCUAAAGCGUCCGUAGCCGGCUGGGUAAGUUCCUUGGGAAAUUUGGCUGCUUAACAGUCAAGCUUUCAGGGAAUACUGCCCGGCUUGGGACCGGGAGAGGUCAGAGGUACUCCAGGGGUAGGGGUGAAAUCCAUUAAUCCUUGGGGGACCACCGGUAGCGAAGGCGUCUGACCAGACCGGGUCCGACGGUGAGGGACGAAGGCUAGGGGCGCGAGCCGGAUUAGAUACCCCGGUAGU